This 491-nucleotide ribosomal RNA is filed under the name uncultured bacterium. RNAcentral describes it as "bacterial LSU rRNA". It matches the Rfam family "Bacterial large subunit ribosomal RNA", at positions 28 to 510 of the family's 2925-position model. The record is from RNAcentral.
AUGCCUAGGCGCUGAGAGGCGAUGAAGGACGUGGGUGGCUGCGAAAUUUCCGGGGAGUUGCCAACCGAACAUUGAUCCGGAAGUGUCCGAAUGGGGAAACCCGGCGGGUGUAAUGACCCGUCACUCCGUCCUGAAUACAGUAGGGGCGGAAGAGCAAACCGAGGGGAAGUGAAACAUCUCAGUACCCUGAGGAAAAGAAACAAUGAGUGAUUCUCGGAGUAGUGGCGAGCGAAACGGGAAAAUAAGCCUAAACCGAUUCGACGAAAGUCGCGUCGGGGUUGCGGGGUCCGCGGUAGGACCUCGGAUUGCUAACGGAACUGCCUGGAAAGGCAGACCAAAGAGCGUGAUAGUCGCGUACGUGAAAGCGAACUGAGGCCGAGCGGGGUACCCAAGUAGGACGGGACACGUGCAAUCCUGUCUGAAUCUGCCAGGACCAUCUGGUAAGGCUAAAUACUACUCAGCGACCGAUAGUGAACAAGUACCGCGAGGGG